This is a long non-coding RNA of Mustela lutreola (European mink), 1318 nucleotides long. RefSeq lists it as uncharacterized. Lineage: Eukaryota; Metazoa; Chordata; Mammalia; Carnivora; Mustelidae. The record is from RefSeq and is a predicted model, not a curated record. The transcript is spliced from 3 exons.
CAGUAGCUCUUGGGGAGUGAGGAGAGAUAAAGUGAAGAUAUUUAAAACCUAAGCGGUAGCCUUAGAAGCUGAUGAGGAAACAAAAAAGAGGAGACCAGGAAGGAAACUAAGAAAUGUUUUAAGGAGAAGGGAGUAGACAUCUGUCAAGAGCUACUGAUGGGCCAGCUUACAGUCUACACAAAAGGAUGUGGUAAUGCACUGAAGCAAGAGAUUCAAAUGAACAACAAUUCCAGCUUCUUUUAGAAGAAGAGAAAGAUGCUGUCAGCACCAGCCAGGACAGGUGUCGCCCAACCCAUUCUGGAAACUGGGUGGGCAGCCUGCUGUUAGGCCACCCACCAUUUCCCUCUGAAGCCCACACUGCUCGUCCUGGACUGAGCCAAAGACAAAACAUGCCAUCUGAGGUGAGAGAUGAAGAAAAUGAGAGCAAUGCAAUCAAAUCUUAGUGAGACACAGCCAGGUAUCUUCAUCUCACCGAGAUGACAGUACAGUGCAGCAGAGCCUAUGAGAAGCAGGACCACGCCAGACGUGACUGGUCUGUUCCACUGGUUGGCACAGCAGGCUUUGUCACGGACCGCAGUGAAUGUUGGGACAUUGCCCCAUGUGCACUUUACAGCAUCUUCAUUCCUGAUGGGGCCUGGUAAUCUGUGAGAAAUGAACUUCAAUUGCUUUUUCUGCGAGUGCUGAAAACUUACUUUUACAUCACUGGAGGGCCCUGGCAAAGCACAUGUCAAGGACCUGCAGGUCAGAGGGACUGAAAUAGCAGCUGUGAAAUGAACACUUGAUACUGUAUAUAAAUUGAAUGAUCAGCUGGGUGAUUUUAGAACUACCUGGGUGGAAUUUAUGUGUCUUCUGGAUGAGAUGAUGGUUCUAGGCCAGUGGGAGUACCUCUGACACACAGUACAGUAAUCAGUGAGACGGGGGAGUAGGGCUGGGCGGGAAGAGGUGGGUGAGUGGCUUGACCUUGACCUUGUUCUUUUCCACCCCUCUCUUCUGACUGGUCUUUUCUCAGGGAAUGCUGAAACAGACGGAGCAGGUGCCUCCUUGCGGUGUGUGAGCUCGGGAGAUGGCUCAGCAUUUGCUUUCUGUGAUGGUCAAGUGCUUCUUGACAUCCAGGGCCCUGACAGUCUGGGAGAUUCGGAGUGAGUUUGCCAAUUCGCAGCUUUUACUUGGAAAAGCAAAUCAUGACCGAGGACCAUCAAGAAAAGAAUUCCCAAUAUUCACAUGCUCAGCUCUGAUCUUCUCAUUUAUAUCCUGCGUUUUCAGACACAGAGAGCAAGAUUAAAAAAAACAGUGCCAACAGACAUUGGAGACACAAGGC